Molecule: ribosomal RNA, 834 nt
Filed under: Triticum aestivum (bread wheat)
Lineage: Eukaryota; Viridiplantae; Streptophyta; Magnoliopsida; Poales; Poaceae
Description: partial small subunit ribosomal RNA
Source: RNAcentral
AUGUUCUCGACCAUGUCUCUCUCGCGCACCAACAACAUACGGGUCGCCCUCACCAAUGCCCAGAAGGGCUCCCAGACGGUUGCUGCAUAUUUUGGUCAUAUGUGGGCCCUCUCCGACGAGCUCGCGGCAGCGGUCAAGCCGAUCGGCGAGGAUGAACUGCUCUCCUUCAUCAUCGUCGGGUUGGACAUGGAGUACUAGCCCAUCAUCUCGACGCUCGAUGCACGAACAGAACCAGUCUCCGUCGACAUCCUCUUCUCCAUGGUGGCAAAUUCUGAUCAGCGAGUCGAGAUGUUCCAUGGUAGAAACGCCGGAUCCUUCAAAUCAUUGGCGAACUCAGCAUCUCGUGGUCACCGGGGAAACACCAGAAACUACCAAAACUAGCCGAGUGGUGGAGGUGGUGGUGGAUCUCGUGGUGGUGGCGGCCAGUACGGAGGCGGCGGCGGGCAGUAUGGUGGUGGUGGUGGCUACCACAAUAGUGGCAACAACCAGGGCGGUGGCGGUGGCUACCACCCAAACAAUAGUGGUGGCGGCAGCUAUCCUGGUGGCGGCGGCUACCACGGUGGUGGUGGUGGCGGGGCACCCUUGCGGUGGAAACAACACCCCCCCGGCAACAACAAUCGGGGGCGCAAUUUCCAAGGCUAUGAGGGGUAUGAAUGGAAGUGUCAGAUCUGUAAAAAGACAAACCACAUAGCUAAAUAUUGUGAUUGGCGCUAUGCUGAUGACAAUUCUUAAAAGAAAAAAGUUGUUGCCGCUGAUGAUAUGUCAUAUGGUGUAGAUACAAAUUGGUAUAUGGAUACAGGUGCCACCAACCACAUCACGAGCUGGACAAGCUGA